UAAACCCUCUUCCUUGUUUCCGAUAAAUUUUGGAUCUUUGUUAUCGUUUUCGUUCAAAUUUAUUGAAGAUGAAACAGACAGGGACAUCAGAAGCUGUCUUUGUGAUGAUUUUUGUCUAAAAUGGGAAUCUCUCUGAUGCAAAAACCACAACUUUUGUUCAAAUCAUAAAGAUUGAGACUUUGUUCUUUCUGGGUUUCUGUAUUUGCCUGUGAUGUAUUGAAAUAUUGCACGUAUUAUCAGAUGCGAAAUUCGCGUAUGAUGAUAUGCUCGAAAUUGUCACUACCUCUGAGGCAAAACAAGAAACUAUGUUUUUUGCUUGUUGUUUGUAUCCAAAACCCAAGUGACGCUGUAUCGUUCACUUCCGUCUUGCCCAUUCGGACGUGAAAAAGCUUCAUGCUUUACCAAUGAUGGACUUCAAUAAUCAUCAGAUCUGAUUUGUAUA
This is a long non-coding RNA of Tarenaya hassleriana, 442 nucleotides long. RefSeq lists it as uncharacterized. The record is from RefSeq and is a predicted model, not a curated record. Lineage: Eukaryota; Viridiplantae; Streptophyta; Magnoliopsida; Brassicales; Cleomaceae. The transcript is spliced from 2 exons.